This 460-nucleotide ribosomal RNA is filed under the name uncultured bacterium. RNAcentral's name for it is "partial 16S ribosomal RNA". It matches the Rfam family "Bacterial small subunit ribosomal RNA", at positions 338 to 795 of the family's 1533-position model. The record is from RNAcentral.
CCUACGGGAGGCAGCAGUGAGGAAUAUUGGUCAAUGGACGAGAGUCUGAACCAGCCAAGUAGCGUGAAGGAUGACUGCCCUAUGGGUUGUAAACUUCUUUUAUAUGGGAAUAAAAUGGUCCACGUGUGGGAUGUUGUAUGUACCAUAUGAAUAAGGAUCGGCUAACUCCGUGCCAGCAGCCGCGGUAAUACGGAGGAUCCGAGCGUUAUCCGGAUUUAUUGGGUUUAAAGGGAGCGUAGGUGGAUUGUUAAGUCAGUUGUGAAAGUUUGGGGCUCAACCGUAAAAGUGCAGUUGAAACUGGCAGUCUUGAGUACAGUAGAGGUGGGCGGAAUUCGUGGUGUAGCGGUGAAAUGCUUAGAUAUCACGAAGAACUCCGAUUGCGAAGGCAGCUCACUGGACUGCAACUGACACUGAGGCACGAAAGUGUGGGUAUCAAACAGGAUUAGAUACCCGAGUAGUA